RNAcentral lists this microRNA (23 nucleotides) under Homo sapiens (human). RNAcentral's name for it is "hsa-miR-5090". The record is from miRBase by way of RNAcentral. Lineage: Eukaryota; Metazoa; Chordata; Mammalia; Primates; Hominidae.
CCGGGGCAGAUUGGUGUAGGGUG